This is a non-coding RNA of Pelobates cultripes (western spadefoot toad), 77 nucleotides long. The record is from the annotation of a GenBank genome assembly. NCBI's taxonomy places the organism in Eukaryota, Metazoa, Chordata, Amphibia, Anura, Pelobatidae.
AAACACACACUCUGCAUUAUAUACACACUCUGCAUUAUAUAAACAGAGUGUGUGUAUAUAAUGCAGAGUGUGUGUUU